AGAUGUGAGGGCGAUCUGGCUGCGACAUCUGUCACCCCAUUGAUCGCCAGGGUUGAUUCAGCUGAUCUGGCUGGCUAGGCAGGUGUCCCCUUCCUCCCUCAGCACUCCAUGUGCGUCCCUCCCAAAGCUGCGUGCUUGGUCGAAGAGGACGGCCUUCCCCGAAUAGAGACAGACAGGUCUUCGGUCGAGGGUAUCCGAGUAGCUGCGCUCCCCUGCUAGAACCUCCAAAUAAGCUCUCAAGAAAGAGAAAUGAUUGUAGUGAAAAAAGAAGCCAGUAUUAUUAACUAUUAUGUGUGUUAGCAUUGUAU
Unclassified non-coding RNA from Erinaceus europaeus (western European hedgehog), 308 nucleotides. Its record names the gene 7SK. It matches the Rfam family "7SK RNA". Rfam says of the family: 7SK was discovered as an abundant small nuclear RNA in the mid-70s but a possible function has only recently been suggested. Two independent studies have found that 7SK RNA binds the CDK9/cyclin T complex (known as elongation factor P-TEFb). Lineage: Eukaryota; Metazoa; Chordata; Mammalia; Eulipotyphla; Erinaceidae. The record is from Ensembl.